AAGCCAUCUUGAGGACAUUUCCGCAGGAGCACGUAGAACCUAUCCCAUAUAUGAAAAGGAGACUCCAAUUCCAUUUACACAAAGGAGGAAAUUUCAUUCCUGAGCUU
Small nucleolar RNA from Dioscorea cayenensis subsp. rotundata (Guinea yam), 107 nucleotides. The record is from RefSeq and is a predicted model, not a curated record. Lineage: Eukaryota; Viridiplantae; Streptophyta; Magnoliopsida; Dioscoreales; Dioscoreaceae.